RNAcentral lists this ribosomal RNA (579 nucleotides) under uncultured bacterium. Its description in RNAcentral is "bacterial SSU rRNA". It matches the Rfam family "Bacterial small subunit ribosomal RNA", at positions 337 to 916 of the family's 1533-position model. The record is from RNAcentral.
UCCUACGGGAGGCAGCAGUGAGGAAUCUUGCGCAAUGGGCGAAAGCCUGACGCAGCCACGCCGCGUGCCGGAUGAAGGCCCUAUGGGUUGUAAACGGCUUUUAAGCAGGAAGAACGACCGGAUUUCGAUCUGGUGUGACGGUACUGCUUGAAUAAGCACCGGCUAACUCCGUGCCAGCAGCCGCGGUAAUACGGAGGGUGCAAGCGUUGUCCGGAAUCAUUGGGUGUAAAGGGUGCGUAGGCGGGCGUCUAAGUCUGGGGUGAAAUCUUGCCGCUUAACGGUAAAAUGGCCUUGGAUACUGGGCGUCUUGAGUGUAGAAGAGGUAAGUGGAAUUCGUAGUGUAGCGGUGAAAUGCAUAGAUAUUACGAAGAACAUCAGUGGCGAAGGCGGCUUACUGGUCUACAACUGACGCUGAGGCACGAAAGCGUGGGGAGCGAACAGGAUUAGAUACCCUGGUAGUCCACGCUGUAAACGAUGCAUACUAGGUGUUGGCCUUUCGGGGCCAGUGCUGCAGUUAACGCAUUAAGUAUGCCACCUGGGGAGUACGUCGGCAACGAUGAAACUCAAAGGAAUUGACGG